GACGAACGCUGGCGGCGUGCUCAACACAUGCAAGUCGAACGAAGAGCGAUGGAAGCUUGCUUCUAUCAAUCUUAGUGGCGAACGGGUGAGUAACGCGUAAUCAACCUGCCCUUCAGAGGGGGACAACAGUUGGAAACGACUGCUAAUACCGCAUACGAUCUAAUCUCGGCAUUGAGGAUAGAUGAAAGGUGGCCUCUACAUGUAAGCUAUCACUGAAGGAGGGGAUUGCGUCUGAUUAGCUAGUUGGAGGGGUAACGGCCCACCAAGGCGAUGAUCAGUAGCCGGUCUGAGAGGACGAACGGCCACAUUGGGACUGAGACACGGCCCAGACUCCUACGGGAGGCAGCAGUGGGGCAUCUUCCGCAAUGGACGAAAGUCUGACGGAGCAACGCCGCGUGAGUGAUGACGGCCUUCGGGUUGUAAAGCUCUGUUAAUCGGGACGAAAGGCCUUCUUGCGAAUAGUGAGAAGGAUUGACGGUACCGGAAUAGAAAGCCACGGCUAACUACGUG
Molecule: ribosomal RNA, 510 nt
Filed under: uncultured bacterium
Lineage: Bacteria
Description: partial 16S ribosomal RNA
Rfam family: Bacterial small subunit ribosomal RNA
Source: RNAcentral